GUGGAAUUACACCUCAACGAAUUUGAACUCUGCUCUACCCGAUAAGCCUGUGGGAGCGAGAUUAAGGCUUGCUGGUCAUUUAUUACACUCGAAGUCAGUCUUUUUCUCUCUCCUAUUGGUAUAACGGUGUUUCAACGAGUCCGAGUUCCCGCACCGUAGUCAUCCACAUCAUC
This 173-nucleotide microRNA precursor is filed under the name Aedes aegypti (yellow fever mosquito). RNAcentral's name for it is "microRNA aae-mir-14 precursor". Its record names the gene aae-mir-14. The stretch from base 49 to 117 matches the Rfam family "mir-14 microRNA precursor family". The record is from miRBase by way of RNAcentral. Lineage: Eukaryota; Metazoa; Arthropoda; Insecta; Diptera; Culicidae.